AUGUCCCCAAGUUUUCCCUGCUUCACCCUCAUCACCCUGAACAGCCGGAGAGUUCCUGGCUCAGGCCGCAGCCCAGCCUUCCACGAGGGAGUGGGGAUCAGAUACGCCGCAGCCCCCUCCUCCGACCUGGGCGCUCUCCCAUCUCGGGAUGCUGGUGGAAGUGCCUCAUUCAGACGCCCCAGGCAUCGGAUUCUGGGCGGGGGCGCGUGGCCGCCGCCAGGUGAGUGCCCCGGACGCGCCCCUGCAGCCGCCCCACCUCUCACCAGACGCUCACUCCCCCUCCUUUUAUGGAGACGGGGAGGCAGGGGCCCUGGAUCCUCACGGUGGAAAGAGGCCCGAGCGCCGCGCCGGGGCGGGGGGCCGGAGGCGGGGGCCGGUUCGCGUUUGCCCUUUUUGGCGCAGCAGCUCUGGGCGCUGCCCGCUGCCGCCGCUGGGGCCCGAGGGAGGCGAGCCGGCGACGGCAGCGCUUCUGCGGCGGCCUCCUCCCCUCCCCGUCCGAUGCCGCAGGAUUGCAGCUGGCACUGGAGGGUGGGCAAGCUCGAGGGAGGGGCGCGCGGGGAGCCCCGCCGGGCGCGCGGAGCUCGGAGCCGGGCGCGGGGCUUUGAUGGGUUUUACUGGCUGCGUGAGCGCCGCUCGGUGCUCUCUGCGGCGGCGGCGGCGGCGCCCGGGCCCUGCCCGGCCCGUGCGGCCCCCGCGCGCUUCCGAGGUGCGGGUCCGGGGCCCGGAAUCCGGGGGAGGCGAGGGGGAGGGGGCGGGGGAGGGGCGCGGCGGCGGCGGCGCUAUAACCCCCUCCCCGCCGCCGGCCGGCUCCACACGCGCGCCCUGCGGAGCCCGCACAACUCCGGCGAGCCGGGCCUGCCCGUGCCUCCUCCCCCCCCCUCCUCCUCCUCCUCCUCCGCCACCCGGCGGCGGCGGCGGCGGCGGCGGCGGCUCCCUUCGGCCCCACGCUCCGGCCGGCGCGGCGAGGCCCCGGGCGGGCGGCGGCUGCCAGGCGGCGCGGCCGCGGGCGCUGCCCGGCUCGGGCCGGCGGAGGGCGGAGCGCGGCGCCAGAGCCGAGGGCACGCCGCGGAGGGGCGCACGCAGGCCGCCGGGCCGCGCCGUGCUGGGCCGCGCCGUACCCGGCCGGGCGGCGGCUGCGAGAGGAGGCCGAAGGCGAGCGCGGGGCCGGCGGUGGGCGCGCAGGGCCGUCCGCAGCCCCGCGGGGAGAGCGCGAGCCCGCGGCCGGGGCCCGGCCGGGCAUCCAGACAGGUGAUGGGUGGUGCGGCGGCGGCGGCGGCGGCUGCAGCCUCGCUCCGGGGUCCCUCUCGGGGCUGA
RNAcentral lists this long non-coding RNA (1314 nucleotides) under Canis lupus familiaris (dog). Its description in RNAcentral is "lncRNA (ENSCAFG00030004485.1)". Lineage: Eukaryota; Metazoa; Chordata; Mammalia; Carnivora; Canidae. The record is from RNAcentral.